GACAACAUGCAAGCGCCUGGACCAGUUUAAGGGAUAGACUGGUUGACGAGGGGGGAGCUAAUCGAAGUUUUCGGCGGAUGCUCCCCGGUAAGUCACAACCGUUAAAGGCGGCACAAAUCCGGCGGGCAACCGCCGGGACAAAAACGCCGGGUGACCGCGG
RNAcentral lists this non-coding RNA (160 nucleotides) under Desulfotomaculum sp. RNAcentral's name for it is "GlcN6P sequence". It matches the Rfam family "glmS glucosamine-6-phosphate activated ribozyme aptamer". From Rfam's summary of the family: This entry contains a glucosamine-6-phosphate activated ribozyme that is found in the mRNA for GlmS. GlmS is an enzyme that uses fructose-6-phosphate and glutamine to generate glucosamine-6-phosphate. The record is from RNAcentral. Lineage: Bacteria; Bacillati; Bacillota; Clostridia; Eubacteriales; Desulfotomaculaceae.